Molecule: long non-coding RNA, 2979 nt
Organism: Sus scrofa (pig)
Lineage: Eukaryota; Metazoa; Chordata; Mammalia; Artiodactyla; Suidae
Source: RefSeq, a predicted model, not a curated record
GUUGCAUUGGCCUGCCAGUAAGAACGGCCAGAACGCAACUGAUCUCCAGAUAAUGUCUGUCCUGCAUUGCUGGAUUAUAGUUUUCUUGCUUCUGAGUCUGCCCCCUAGUGGGUUUUGUGGCCUCCUAAAGGGCAGGGUGAUGCUUGGUAGGCAGAGCUGGGUCUUGAUCUCUGGUGGGCUGGGCCUUAUCUAGGGGGUGUGUUCAGAGGCAGCUGUGGGCUCUUUAGUCUUUAGGUAGCCUGACUACCGGCAGGUGAGGCUGUUUCCCAGCCCAGCAGCCCAGUUAGUUAUUUGGCCUGAAGCAUUGCAGCACUAGUGCCUGAAGGCUGUUGGAUGGUACUAGGUUUUAGAGCUAAGGAGCCAAGGUAUCAGCAGUCGGGAGCAGUGGUAUUCACAUGGCUGAAUGUUUCCUCUGUCCCCAGAGUGAAUAGCAGUAGCCCCUGCCUCUCCAGUAGACCAGCAGGUUUGGCCACUGAAAGCCUCUUUAUGUUGACUCACACGUCUUUGUAACAUGUCCCCCAAGUUUUCUUCUUGUUCAAGAUACACUCUUGCCUUAGAAGACGGGAUAAGGAUGGAAGAAAACAACAGUUUGAGCACCUACCAUGUAACUGGAAGAAGUGGGGGAUGCCCAGUGCCAUUAUGGAUCCAAGGGCUGCAAAUGCGGAAGAUGACAGUCACAGAAGAUGAAAAAUCCAUAAAAGGUGUGGGAUAAAGCUGUUCCAAAUCGAGGGCUUGUGAAAGGAGAAAAAAUUUACAGGCUUUGAGGAUGGCAACCUUUGUUUGGAAUCAGAGAAUCGUAGACUGUGAGAAUCAGAGGGGACCUCAGAGAUUAUCUGGUCUGACCCUCCCAUUUUACAAGUUACGUAACCAAGGCCUCUUAGUGAAAGAUCCUGUGAUUGAUGCCUGUUUCGACACCUGGAGCCCUGUGCCAGAGGAGAGCAAGGUCAAGAACCACAAAGAUCAAGAAACCAUGUGCAGUGGUAUCAACCCUGAGAAAGCCACCACUAAUUCAAUGGCUCCGAGAAAGUAUGCAACAGUGGGUGCUACCAAAUCUUAAAAAAUACUAAAUUCUUGCUGCACUACGAUUCCUCUGCACUUGAAGAUGUUGUCACAUGCCAUGAAAACUCAAGGCUUCCAUCCAAGGCAGUAUUUGUUGACACUGGUAUAUCUUGACAUUUGAAGGCAGGUUCACACAAGCAUUCAUGAUCAUUCUAACUGCCAUUUGCUUGCCAGCAUUAAUGGAACUUACUUUCUCUCAGACGUUUUGAUUAAAGUUGCAUGUAAUUUAUAUAGAAAUUUAUAAAAAAUUUUAGAAUUGUGAAGAUUCAAAGUUUCAUGAAUAAACACAGUGUAUCACUCCAUCUAUUAGGUAUUUUUCACAUCUAUCAAUAAAAUUUAUUUCUUUCAUCUGUCAAAUUCUAAAAGUUUUGUUGCUUUUAGAAACUAUAUUUCUUAAAUUCUAUUUUUGAAUUGAUCAUUGCCAGCACAUACAAAUAUUACUAAUUUUUAUGUUUAUCUUCUAUUUUAAAAUCUUGAUAUUUCUAAUACUUUGUAGACUCUCUUGAAUUUUUUAAUGCUGAAAAAAAUUAUAAAAACUGUUUUCCUUCCUUCUUUCCAAUAUUUACACAUUUUGUUUCUUUUUCUUCUUUUAUUGUAUUGAUUAGGAACUACAGGAACAUGUUAAAUGAAAGUAUCAAUAGCAGGAAUCAUAAAUUUGCUUCUAACUUUAAAGGUUAUCUAAAGUUUUACCACAAUGAAAGCUAUUUUCAGUAGGUUUUUGAGAAAUAAUAUUUUAUUAAGGGAUGAUUUCUUUAUUUUGUAUUUUGGUAAGCUCAUUCCCUAUUUUAAUAUCUGCAAUGAAUAUUAAAUUUUAUUAAAGUUCCUUUUCUGUGUUUAUUACAAUGACCACAUACCAUUCCCUUUACUCUUUUUAUCUCAUAACUUAUAUAGAGAGAUUUUCAAAUAUGAAAUUAUCCUUACUUGGUUUAAUAUAGAUAUAAAUUUCUUAAUAUACAUAUUGAUUUUGUUUAAUAAAUAUAUGAAAGUAUCUAUUAUCUGUUUAGCUCCUAAAUAUAUUUUAGAUAUUUAAUAUAUUCAUUGGUAAUAUAGUAGAAUAUUUCUUCAUAAUGAAUUAUGCUUGCAUAGUUUUCAUAAGUAAAUAAGCAGGUAAAUCAUCUACAUCACAUGUAUUGAUCUUAUAUAUAAAUAUAUACCUAUGAUUUAAUAUACUUUGGCAUUAUAUACUUAAUACAAUGUUGAUAUACAAUGAGUAAUAUUAUCUAUAGGAUGCUUGCAUCAAUGCAAUUUUAUUUUCUUGAUCUAUUCUCAUCGGGUUAUAUUAUCUAAAUUAUUCUAACCUAAGAGAGUGAGCAAGACAUUUCCACCUCUUUUAUUACCUGAAAUGAUUUACAAAACACAUGGUUGCUUAGGACUGGGGAAAUGGAAAAAUUGGAGAUAAUAGUUAAUAUAUAAAGAGUGUUUUGGGGGUGGUGAAAAUGUUCUGAAAUUGAUGGUUGUACAACUUGCAAAUAUAUCAAAAACCACUGGAUUGUACUCUUUAAAUUUGUAAAUUUAUGGUAUGUGAGUAUUCACUCAAUAAAUCUAUCAUUUUUUAAAAGAAAAACAAAGAAAACGAACGUGUUUCUUGAAGGAUGGCACAUUUCCUAUAACUAUUUUGUUGUAGUUGGGUGAGAAAAAGUUUUAAGAAUUGAUUCAAUUUUUGAUGGUUAUUAAUUUAUUUGUCUUCAACUUUUCUUAAUUAUAGCAAUCUGUAACUUCCUAGUCUAUUAUCUAGUUCAUUUAUAUUUUUAAAAUUUAUUGUCAUAAUUCUCAUCAAACCUUUAAAUGAUUGUUUUAUUUCCUGAGUAUCUAGACUUCAGCUUUCUUUUCCUUUACUACUAUCCUUUAUUUACUUUUGUCUUUCUCACCUAUGGAAACAUGGAUUUUUCUAUUUUAUUGAUUUUUUAAUAAAAAGCUUUA